Molecule: ribosomal RNA, 48 nt
Filed under: Dothiorella sarmentorum
Lineage: Eukaryota; Fungi; Ascomycota; Dothideomycetes; Botryosphaeriales; Botryosphaeriaceae
Description: partial 28S ribosomal RNA
Source: RNAcentral
UUGACCUCGGAUCAGGUAGGGAUACCCGCUGAACUUAAGCAUAACAAU